CGUAGUACGCAAGUGUCCGCACUCCGCAGCUCAAGGCCUGCCAGUAGACGGAAGCACACAGUGAGCGCAGAGCUUGUGUCUUCAAGUGGAGAACAAGACGAAUACAACACGCUGCUGAGCUCAGUGUGAAGACGCCAGAGCGUUUCUAACCCUGCUCUGUGUCUUCUAAGAGGAUAUUUGAAGGGGAAGUUCUUCUUGAAUGCCCAAGACGCAGUCAGAACGGUUUUCACCAUGAACAGGAAUAAGCGUGAGAAGGAAUACUACAGCAUAGAUGUAGGAGAUUCCACGUUCACCGUUUUGAAGCGCUAUCAGAAUUUAAGACCAAUCGGAUCUGGAGCACAAGGCAUCGUCUGCUCAGCGUACGACCAUGUCCUUGAACGAAAUGUUGCAAUUAAGAAACUUAGCCGACCCUUUCAGAACCAAACCCACGCCAAACGGGCCUACAGAGAACUGGUCCUGAUGAAAUGUGUCAACCACAAAAAUGUAAGACAUGU
Long non-coding RNA from Sinocyclocheilus grahami, 494 nucleotides. RefSeq lists it as uncharacterized. The record is from RefSeq and is a predicted model, not a curated record. The transcript has 3 exons. NCBI's taxonomy places the organism in Eukaryota, Metazoa, Chordata, Actinopteri, Cypriniformes, Cyprinidae.